GAUGAACGCUGGCGGCGUGCUUAACACAUGCAAGUCGAACGGUGAAGGCAGAGCUUGCUCUGCUGGAUCAGUGGCGAACGGGUGAGUAACACGUGAGCAAUCUGCCCCUGACUCUGGGAUAAGCGCUGGAAACGGCGUCUAAUACUGGAUACGAGCUGCGCAGGCAUCUUCAGCAGCUGGAAAGAACUUCGGUCAGGGAUGAGCUCGCGGCCUAUCAGCUUGUUGGUGAGGUAACGGCUCACCAAGGCGUCGACGGGUAGCCGGCCUGAGAGGGUGACCGGCCACACUGGGACUGAGACACGGCCCAGACUCCUACGGGAGGCAGCAGUGGGGAAUAUUGCACAAUGGGCGAAAGCCUGAUGCAGCAACGCCGCGUGAGGGACGACGGCCUUCGGGUUGUAAACCUCUUUUAGCAGGGAAGAAGCGAAAGUGACGGUACCUGGAGAAAGAGCGCCGGCUAACUACGUG
This 468-nucleotide ribosomal RNA is filed under the name uncultured bacterium. RNAcentral's name for it is "partial 16S ribosomal RNA". It matches the Rfam family "Bacterial small subunit ribosomal RNA", at positions 28 to 507 of the family's 1533-position model. The record is from RNAcentral.